AUACCUCCUUUAUCUAUCCCCUGUAGCAAAUGAUACACGUUUUCCUGUCCACUAUCUUUCUUUGCAUGGCCACCUGAAUUUUAAUGAGUAUUUCUUUUCCUUUGGUUCACAUAAUGUAGCUUCCUGAACUGUGAGUGACCACCAGCUGCUGGUGGACAAUGCCACACUGACUGGAGUAAAACCCGGCUCCUGACCGAUCUGGCUUCGUGGCUUUAGCUGGCUGAGUGGAGAAGAAAAUUCACGCCACAGCAGUAUCCCACCCCACUCGCGUAGCCUCACUUUUUCAGCCGUUCCCCGGGCAGUGCCACCCCAAAAAGAGCUGCUGUUUCUGCGCCCACUGGUCCUUUUCUCCCCUCUUUGAUCGCCUUGGGAGACAGAGCUGGUGUAGACCGGCGCGCUCGGUCGGACAGCCUUUAGGCACAGAGCUCCACGGGUCCGCGGCGCAGCUCCACCAACGAUGCGCCAGCUUAGCCAAUCCAGCGGGGGUGAGGCGGAACCUUUGAGUUGUCUUUAUUUGCAUUUCUCUAAUGAGCAGUGAUUUAACACUGCUUCGUAUGGCAAUAGAUGGCUAGGGUUUCUUCCCCCUGUUCACACCCUUAACCGCUUCUCCACUGGCUAGACUCUGUCCUUACGCAGCUCAGAGGCGAGGCCUCUAGCAAGCAGAAAAACUCCAUUUCCCAGAGGUCUCUGUAGCCUCCAGGGUCAGCCCACAGCGAGGCCCCACCGCGGUGACUAUGGAAACCGAGACAAGCUGGCUCCGAGGAAAAGAGUCUUCAGGGGAUUGGUGGACAGAGAGGCGCGGCCGGAACAGGCGGGACUAAGACGGUCUGUUAAUAUGUCACUUCCGCAUCUUCGCGGGGCUCUCCCUGUCGUACGGGGCGCGCUUUCGGAACCGUCUCAACUGCGCUCCGAAUUCGGCCUCCUCCUCCGCCGCCGCCGCUGCCAGGGCCCGAGCUCCGCUCCCCCCGGAAGGCAGCUCUGCCUUCUGACAGCCUGAUCCUUAAUGAAAAGGAAAGCAUGGCCCCUGUACUCCUGACUGCCAGGCCCCCCCAGGUGAGUGGCAGUGUGCCCUUCCAGAAGUGCCAAAGCAGUGCUUCAUACGUUGUCUCCCUAUUUCCAUUUCUUUAAUAUGAUUUUUAUUGUUUCCGUGAUUUCUGUCUUUGGCCCCCUCUAUUUGGAGUAUAUUUUUAAUUCAUAUUUCUUUCAUUAGUUACAAUUUUGGUUGUGUUUUGGUGUCUGAAAGUUCAUGUUUAAGAUUUGUCUUUCUGCAUUGUUUGAGUUCUUUGUUUCCUAAUAAGUGAACAGAUUGUAUGAGUACCGUGACAACCUUAGAAGUUUGCAUGCUGGCAAAAAGUCUCUUUCAGAAGUCCCCUUGAGUCUAUUAAAUCUUUUUUUCCCAAUAUUUUAUUUAAACCCACAAUCUCCUCCUUUAACUCUCUUUUGGGUUUGUCAAGUCUGACAGAGAUCUUAAGAUCACCUACAGUUAUUGUCUUCUUAUCUUUCUUUCACCUCAGUUAUAUUUUCCUUAAAGACCUGAGUUGAUGUAAUAAUUCAGUGCAUUACAGCGAUUCUCUAAAGCCAGCCUAACCAUGUGUGUGGGAUGCCACUCAAAUUAAAGAACACACAGAGGUAUCCAAGGAGAAACAGAAAGUUAAUUUAUUAUAUCAAACCUCGAGAUUUGGGCGUCCUUCACCAGAAUACUUUGAUGAAAGGAGACACAGACAGAAACAAAGGACCUGAUCAUAUACCCUAAUGGGCAAAUUCCCCCCCCCUUCCCACCAACUGUCCAUUAUUUGGCUCACAAUCUCACCACAAAACUCUACAUAGAAACAAAUAACAAUAAACAUUAUGCAUAUCUUAGUUACGAACA
Molecule: long non-coding RNA, 1870 nt
Filed under: Phascolarctos cinereus (koala)
Lineage: Eukaryota; Metazoa; Chordata; Mammalia; Diprotodontia; Phascolarctidae
Description: lncRNA (ENSPCIG00000034338.1)
Source: RNAcentral